UCUUGGGACGUUAGGUUGGGGGCCGGUGUUCUCUGAGGAUGAAGCCGCCUCAGAGGAUGCUGGUGCUGAGCUGAGGAAGCGGAAUCAGAUCCAGAACCGAAUUUUGCGGGACCAAGGAGCAGCGUGCAAGGCCCAGAGGAUGAAUUCUGUUUGGUCUAAGCCAGCAUGGGAAUCCUGUCUCCUUUUGACCUAGUCUUGGGGCAACCUGGGCAAUAGAGCAUGGGGAAAGUGACCGCACCGGUUACGAUAUUUUCAACUGCAAGUGACAGCAUGCCUGACUGACCGUGGCUUAAGCGAAGAAGAAGUGGAAUUAUCCUUUAUAACAAACAGUCUGGAGGUCGGCAGCUCCAAAGUCGUUUUGAUGUGUCAAGGACCCAGGCUUAUCUUUCUGCUACGUCAUCUCCAGUGGUUGGCUUUUGGCCUCAGACUCAUGCCCAUCCCAGCUACUGCUGCAUCAUAGAACGUUUGAUCACAGGACACCGAUCAAAGCAGGAAGGAAGGGAUGGGGGGACAAAAGGCUUUCACCCCCUUGAAGCUCUAUAUUAUUAAUGAAGUGGAUCCUCAGAUUUC
Lynx canadensis (Canada lynx) is the source of this 570-nucleotide long non-coding RNA. RefSeq lists it as uncharacterized. The record is from RefSeq and is a predicted model, not a curated record. NCBI's taxonomy places the organism in Eukaryota, Metazoa, Chordata, Mammalia, Carnivora, Felidae. The transcript has 3 exons.